GCAUUUCAGUUUUUGGCUUCACCCCCACCAGUGACCAAAGACUUGACCACUCAAAGUCCAGCUCCCCAGAACACUGCUCGACAUGGACACCGGUGUGAUUGAAGGUGGAUUAAAUGUCACUCUCACCAUCCGGCUACUUAUGCAUGGAAAGGUAUGCACCAGCUUGGGAAAUUGGGUCAUAGUAACUGCUCGGGGAGAGGCCAGGAAGAGAGGGCAUGCAUCUUGGAGCUCAUCAGAUUAGCACUGUGGGGCAUCUGGCUUUAGCAGUCUUCUCUAUCAGAGUAGAUGAGAGUGUAGUGGGAAAAUGGACAGACUUUAGUAGGAAGCUCCACUGAGCAGGAAAGGCUUAACUAGAGGAUGGAGCCAGAGACUCUCAUACCUGGAUAAUAAGAUUUUCCUCAUCGAGGUUGGUGUAGCUUGUGAUAAAUAGAUAAUCUCUGCCAAGACAAUUUUGGGAAACUAUACAGAUUUGGUACUUCAAUAAAUAAGUUAUGUUAAACACAGAAUAGUAUUUGAUUAUUUCUGAAUCAUUAUUCCUUCAGUAUUCUUUGGUACCUUCAGUUAUGUUUUGAGCAAAGAAGAGAGUAAGCCUCCCUACUCCUCUUCCUAAUAAAUCUGAGUUUUUCCAUUGUUUUGGACAGUUAAAAAUUCCUUUUUAUGAUAUGAACACUUGAGUUUCCUCUUAUUUGACGCUAGUUUUCUCCAUUGCAGGAAGUUGGCAGUAUCAUCGGAAAGGUAAGACUGUUUCACUUCAACUCUAAUUACUAUUUAGUUAGUCUUGGUUGAAACAGCAGUUGGAGCUCAUUCUUGACUUUUCCUCUUACAGAAAGGAGAAUCAGUUAAGAAGAUGCGUGAGGAGGUGAGUUAUAGGGGGGUGGGAUGGGGGGGGCUAGUUUAAGGGUUGUUAAAAGCCCUUAAAGGCAAAAUUUUUAUUUAAUGAGCAAUUAGAAGGAAUCAAUAGGAGAAUCUGGUGUUUUUUUGGCCUGGUUAUUUGUAAUCACAUAAUAUGCUGGGAAAUGUAGUUCCAGUAAGCCUCAAUUCAUUCAAGCUUUAAGGCAGCUUCUGUAGUGUUGAGGGCAAACAUGAGCAAUGUUUGAAAUCCGAAAUUGGCUUGUGUUAAGAUCAUGCAUAUAGGUAGCUUCCUUGGUCAUCUUAUUUGGGAGGGGCUGUGUAAUCUGUAUAUGCUCAGACCUUUUUGUCUGUUAACCUCUUGGCUUUGUUUUUUUAAUCCAGAGUGGUGCACGUAUCAACAUCUCAGAAGGGAAUUGUCCUGAGAGAAUUAUCACUUUGGCUGGACCCACUAAUGCCAUCUUCAAAGCCUUUGCUAUGAUCAUUGACAAACUGGAAGAGGUUCGUUUUCACUCAUUCCCCCCCGAAUCUUCAUUUUAAAGUGCUUCUAGAUAGCUUAGUGAUUUUUCUUUUUCUUUUUUUUUUUUUUUCAACGUUUAUUUAUUUUUGGGACAGAGAGAGACAGAGCAUGAACGGGGGAGGGGCAGAGAGAGAGGGAGACACAGAAUCCGAAACAGGCUCCAGGCUCUGAGCCAUCAGCCCAGAGCCUGACGCGGGGCUCGAACUCACGGACCGCGAGAUCGUGACCUGGCUGAAGUCGGACGCUUAACCGACUGCGCCACCCAGGCGCCCCUAGCUUAGUGAUUUUUCUAAGAGCUUUCUAAAUUGAAGGCCAGACUGGAUCAUAAAUCUGUAAAUGGGUCCUUUACAAACCUUCUCUUCAGUGUUCCCAAAAUUUAACUGUAAGUCACUUGAAUCAUUAAAAGGACUAGCUUGACUAUUACUGAGGACUCAAUGUAAAAAAAAAAAAAAAAGUGUGAAAACCCAUUUUUUAUUUUUAUUUUUUGACCAGUAGUUUUGAAGGUAUGAUGGUAUUGCAUUGGUAAACUUCACGUCCUCUAAUUUAUAGUUGAAUGAACUUAAAUAAAUGUGCUUUUGUUAGGUGCCCUGAUGAACACUAAUACAUGCCAUAAAUAACAUAUCUUUCAACCUUGGAUGCAGUUGGGAUUUUUAAGAAAUUCAGUCUGAUAACUUUGUGUCAGAGCUAUACUUGGAGGAAGAGAAUAUGUUUUAUAGGUUUUCAGAAGAAAAUUAUCAAUGCCAGAAGUUUUUUGGCAGAAGGAAGUUUUGUUUUUGUUUCUUUUGUUCACCAAGAUCCCUCAACCUUCAGAUACUCUACAACCAUUGCCCUACGUCUUCAGCCUCCUCCCCCUCUUCAGUAAUGCUGCUAAUCAUGCAUUUGACACCACAGGCAGAGGAGAGCUAUUGGCUGCUGCUUGGUUGGUGGUUGGAUACUUAAUGGUGCCUGAAAUUUUAUCCUGGCCAAGAUCAGAAAUGUUAUCUUUUGACCUGCAAGGCCCUGCUAAUCCAGAGCUUGAAGCUUAAAAAACAUUCAGAAAAUUUAUUUGUACUUUAACAUGUCCUUGACUUCAGGGGCUUAUGUUUAAGCACUUUUCAGGUCUAGCUACUACAUAGAGAUUAGGCUGAGAAGUGAUGUUUAAACCACUUAAUCUUCAGAGGGCUAAAUUUAACUAGGUUAAAACCAUGACUUUUUGGAAGUAGCAUAUUAUGGGAAAGACAGUGGGCUUUGGAGCCAAUACAGUCUUUUAAUUUCAAAUCUACAGCUUUUUAGAUGUGAUUGGGACGAGUACUUGGCCUCAGUUUCAUUGUUUGUAUAAUGGUGAUUUUACCAAGAAAUUAAAACAAAUAGAAACACUUGCUUAAUCUUUCUAAUUUUUCUAAGAGAACAGAAUUGGUUAUUUGAAUUUGGGGUUGCAUUGUUUCAUCUGAAUGUUUUAAUUUUGACUUUGAUAUUGUUUCCCUUUAUAGUCAAUUCUGAUUUCCAAAACAAACAGUCACUUUUCUUCCUCCAUGAAAGAAACUGUAUUUAGGGAUAAUCAGAGGAAGUUUAUAGGUGUUUUUAUCUUUAAGGAAAUAGUUGUUUUGGGGGUAAUAUUUGAACUUUUGUUGAUGGUAGAUCAUGACUGAAACGUCCCUUAAAAGGUUAAACGGUUCUUUUAUAGCAGUUGUGGGUCCCAGGGAUCUGCUUAAACUUAGAUUCUUGUGUUCUCAUUUCUUUUUGAAGGACAUCAGCAGCUCUAUGACCAAUAGCACAGCUGCCAGUAGACCCCCAGUAACCCUGAGGCUGGUGGUCCCUGCUAGUCAGUGUGGCUCUCUCAUUGGGAAAGGUGGUUGCAAGAUCAAGGAAAUACGAGAGGUUGGUGACUUUUGUCGUCUUGAAAAUAUUAAUUAUUCUAAAUGUGGCUCUCUCUGUUAAUAGCUCUUAGUAUGGCUUGGAAAAGUUAACGUUUGCAAUGAAGGUUGUUAUUAAAGUAGUAGUCCUAGAUGAUUAUGAUUUAAUUGUGUAUUGGGAAGAAAAGUAUUACACAGUUGACACGUGUAUAUAAAUAAUGUGUAGGAUGGUUUUUGUUUUUGUUUUUUGGUUUUGUUUUUACAAUUCAUAUAUCUUAACAGUAAGACAGAAGGUUAACCAGAAUUUCUGUUGCAUAUGAUCUGUUUCCAUUUUUCAUUUGGCAACUUUUCCAGGAGACUAUAUGCUUUUUUUGUGUGUCUGAAGAGAUUAGAGUUUGAUAUGGAAUGACAGCAAAUAUUUUCCUUGGCCAAACACCUAAAUAGCAAGGGGAAAACAGGAAAGUAUGUUAGGAUGUAGUUGUAAUCCUGCUCCCUUUUAGGCUGGAAUUUACAUUGAAUUACGGAAGCUUUUAAUAGUAUCUGGGAGUUACUAAAUUGGAUAUUGGAAUGAAAUUUGAAUGGCUUCUAAAGGAGUUUUUGGGAUCAUAUUGUGCAUGCCAGAAGAGCAGGGAUUUUGGUUUUGUUUGAUGUAUUCCAAGCAACCUGGAAUGGUGCCUGGUGCAUAGAAGGGGCGUUAUAUAAAUAUUUGUUUAAUAAAAGAAUGAAAAGUGGGUGAUAUUUGUGGGGACUUUGAUGGCUUACGAAGCUGUCAUUAGCUGAAAGAAAACUAUCUAGUAGGACCUUUUUCUUGAGAGCAGCUUAAAUUUAGGCUGUUACUGACUUCCAGAGGCUAAUUUAUUUAUAACUGUGAUUAAACAGUCCUAUCUGGAAUAAGGGAAGAGUGGGAAGGGAGGAUAAAAAGGGUAAAAUAGGAAAUGGGAUAAGUAUCGCUGCUGCAGAAUUACUGCUUGGGGAAUUGGAAGAGCAUGAAUCGUUUUUCUCUGAUUUUUAAAAAUUUUCUUUCUACCCCAAAGAGUACAGGGGCUCAGGUCCAGGUGGCAGGGGAUAUGCUCCCCAACUCAACUGAGCGGGCCAUCACUAUUGCUGGCAUUCCGCAAUCCAUCAUUGAGUGUGUGAAACAGAUCUGCGUGGUCAUGUUGGAGGUAAGCCCUCAGGCUCAUGCUGAGAAUGGGGGGAGGGUGAUUCUAGGGAGACAGACUGAUCUAUAUUUAGUAAGACUAGAAUUAGGUGAAGCUGUUAGAAGCCUCCAGUGGGGGUGGGGAAGAGGUUCCGUGAGUUCAUAUUUUCCUCACCCCCCCCCCCCCCCCUUUUCUUAUAGUCUGAGCAAAAAUAGAAACUGUUAAGCAGCCGUGAUCUUUUGGUUUACAGCAAUUCUAGCAGGGUUGGUAGGGGAAGAUUCACUACUUGGUCUGAGUGGACAAAAUAUGUAACUCGGUUCCAGAGAGACUGAGUUAAGUUGCCUUUUGGAUUACAGUAUUUUGGCUAUGUGCAACUUUGACGUAUUCUUCAAAUUAAUUUCCAUGUUUUAAGACAGGAUUAUAUUCAAAAUAUUUCUAUAUGAAAAAAAACUUACCUGUGAUGGUGUUUAUGAAUAACUUGUGAGGUCCUGGUAGUAUAUGCUAUCCAGUUAAAACAAGAAUAGCAAAAUUAGGGGAAAAUAAAACAUUUAGAACUGCCAUUGAGAUGUUCCUAUAUUCGUGAGAAAAGAAUUUUCAAGUAGAAUUUAGGAAAAUGUUGAUUGAGCCUUUGAACUACUUACCGUGUAUAUUUCUCCAGGCAUAAUAUUUGUGUACUUUAUUUCAUUUCCUGUUUAGGCCAAAAUGUAAGAUCCUAAAUUACCAACUUCAUAUAUACACAUAGAGGUUUGUCAUGUUCAUUAGUUUUAUUUGAAAACAUGGAAAUAAUGCGUAAAUUAUUACAGGGGAAUCUGCCUUGAUGAGAAUUAGUGUGAGCUGUGUAGUCCACGGACCCAUCUUACUGCUUUAAAGGCAAAUAACUGCAGAUGAUUUGAGAUUAGAUCUAGCCAGAGACAACGUUGGUAGGUGAGGGGAUGGAAAUUAAUACAGUUUUUAAUAUAACUGACCUGUGUGAGCUUAAGCCACACAGCUGAAGCAGCUUUGAAACCUUAUCUCUUUUUGUUUUUUUCCCCUCUGACUCUCUCCCAGUCCCCCCCGAAGGGCGUGACCAUCCCGUACCGGCCCAAGCCGUCCAGUUCUCCAGUCAUCUUUGCAGGUGGUCAGGUAAGAAAAUUCUUAUUGGUGGGCUACAAUGAACAAGGAUUAUAUUUGAAAUGUAAACUUUGCCAGCAGCGCACCAGGCCACUCUGCAUGCUUGCUGAAACCUAUACUCUGGCCAUAGUUUGACCUGCUUUUAGUUUUAUUUUUUGUACUGGAGAAAGCUCUGAAUGCCAAGCUCUUAAUUUUUAGCAGGCAAUGGGAGUUUUGUAGGCACUCGGAAGAGGUAAUUUACUUGGUAAUUUAAGGUGGGUUGGGUUAGAAGAAAGGGUUAAAUUGCCUUGGUGUCACUACUUCUCUCCCUUCCCCCCCACCCCAUCCAUGCUUUUUAACGUGUGGGGUGUUCUUUAGAGGUCUGAAUAAAAGUAGCAAAGAAUUGGACCUCUGAAGGAGAUUCUGGAUGGUGGUCUCAAAAUUGGGGGGUUCCUAAACUUGAGUGUCCUACAAACUUCCCCUCCCCCCCCACCUCACCUCCCCUACUCCUACCCCUUCACUCCCAAACUCCAGUGUGUUGUUCCCCCAGACUCUUAACCUCAUAAGCUGGUUUGAACCCACAUGGCAUAACUGAAACCAGCCCGGGGUAAGGGUUCAGUGUGCAAGAAUAGAAGGGGGAGAGCAUGUUGGGCUGUGGUGCUAUGACCUUUGGUGUUAGAGUAAGAACACCAAAGCACCCCCUUGGCCUCUUUCUACUUCACCCACCUAAACUCUUGAUCUUUGGCAUAUGGUUUAUUCUGAAGUUAGAUUUUUAUGAGAAGAGCACGGGUUAGACCCAUGGUAGUUUUAUGCUUUGUUGUUAGUAUCUGAGGAGUAGGUAGGUCAGUUUUUUAAAUGUUGGGGUUCAGGUUGAAAUAGUGACCUUCAAUUUGGUGGCUGCCUAAGCAAGCAAGUACAUUGUUCAAAAUGCCUUUUCCCAAUGAGGGGCUGGCCUGUUACAAGCACACUUAAUUAGUUCCAUCUUGUGUUUGAAUUGGGGGAAGCCUAAACGAAGUCCAUCCCAUUCACAUUCUAUUUUGAGUUGGCAUAAAACUGAACAAGAAUUUGGGGACUUAGUUUGUCAUGUGCUUCUGGGAGCUUUCACAAGAAAUUAAUCAUGUCACAGUAUUACCUUGAGACAGUUUAGUACCUUGCUUUAUAGAAACUGGAUUGGUCAAAGGGUUCCGAUAGUCUGGAUAGUCAGGCAGGAUAAACAAAGGCCCAGAGUCAGUAUAGUAUAGCAAGGAGGCUUAGCCUUAGGAGUUUUCCCUUCUCCCCAGGAACUCCAUGUUCCUGCUCUUCUGGAUUCUUCCACUCCCAUUUGGGAUUGUAAAGAGUCCCAUGCUGCAUAGCAGCAAUUCUCUCUAUAAUUCUUCAUUUCCCUUUCCUUUCCUCCUCUUUCCACCUCCCCCUUCUUACCUCUUUGCUUCCCCCCACCCUCCCCCACCCUUUAUUCAGUUGACCACCCUCUAAAGGCUUGCAGCUUCUUUCAUGAGUGGCCCUUAUUAUUCCCACGGGCCUUUUUAAAUGGACCCAUUUAUGCAACGUCCACAGAUGGACCUGUAUCUUUUGUUCCUUUGUGACAAAAGUGGGCUCUAUAGGGGUUCAACUUAAUCCCACAGUGACCAGUAGCUGGCAUCAGCUCUGUUGCCCCACCCCUUCAUUCUUACUGAAAAUAGCCCAAUUGUGCAGUGUGAUACCUGCCACAAGGUAACUUUUUUUUUUUAAAUUCACUGAUUGCAGCUCGUUUCAAAUUGUGUCGUGAGCUCCUUUUUAAAGGAAAAGAAAAAAUUAAACAACUUUUUUUGUGUGAAUUUCAUGCUGGUGACAAGGUGCCGGAUUGACAGCCCUGGAGACUGAAAUCCUCUAUUUAUCCACAGGACAGGUACAGCACAGGCAGCGACAGUGCGAGCUUUCCCCACACCACCCCGUCCAUGUGCCUCAACCCUGACCUGGAGGGACCACCUCUAGAGGUGAGAGGGGAUGUUCAGUCUCCAAGGCUCACUCAAUCCUUCCGCCUCAGCCGAGACUGCCAACACGCGGGGGGCCAGUGGCGCUGGUGAUUUUUGUGCUGUGGACACCACCUGUCCACGGGGACCUGGACUGACCCCCCCCACCUCAUUUCACACAGGCCGCGUAGCCCACCAGAUGGUAACACCAACUCUUUUUUUUCUUUUUUUUUCCUUUUUUUUCCUUUUUUUUCUUUUUUUUUUUCCUUUUUUUGUUGUUCAACCCUUCUUCCCCAUCUCCCACUCUUCCUAUCCCAUUUUCACCUUCCCACCCCCCACCUGGGUGCACUUUUGGGGGUACUGGCCACUGUGAUGUGAAAAGCUUCACAUCCUGUUAACCAGCCACUCCUUCCCCUCCCUUCCUGUUCCUCCUUGUCCCCCACCCCAUUGCCCUGAAGACCCAGCUCCCUUUUCGGAGGUUAUGGUGUGGGGGGAGGAGGGUGUAGUGGGAGCUGCAAGUGCCUUUUAUGGAGUGGGAGGUGGGAGAAGGUGCAGGAUUUAGAACACAGUGAUUUAUUUUAUUUAUUUGUGUUCCUGUGAUCAGCUCCCUAGUGUUAGGGAUUAAACUAGCUUCUAGUGCACUUAAGGUCUUUAGGCAGAUGUAGAAAAAAAUUAGAUAGGGAAAGGGAAGUGUUAUAGAACAUGCUGUAUAGGUUUAUGCAGAUACAAACAUUCAUGUCACCAUGAUUGGCAUAAGGGUUGGGGUGGUUGAGGGAAGAGACCAUUUUCCUCCUAGGCUGUCUUGUACAGAGGGAGAAAGGGGGCUUGGUCAAUCGAGGCAUUCCUUAAUCCACUUCCCACCUUUUCAUUAAGAAACAAAUGUGUAUUUUGCCUUUGAUUGCAGGGAACUUGGCUCCCUUCAUAGGCCUCCUGGAAUAAGUCAUCAUAUUUAGGUUUCAAAGAAAGCCAACUCAGGUCUGACUGUAUUUGUGAGAUACCAUCUACUGCCUCAAUCUGUGGCCUCCCCCAUCUUUAGUUCAACUCUGGCUUCCUGGCUAGUUGAAAUCUGUCUCCCCCUCUCCCUCUGGGUGGCUGUCCCUGAUUGGUUUUUUUUAAUAGGAACUGUUUUCCUCCUUUUGUAGGCCUAUACCAUUCAAGGACAGUAUGCCAUUCCACAGCCAGAUGUAAGUUUUGUUUUCACUUCUUGUUUUGAAAAGUUCCCUUUCCCAUCCAAAAUUGUCUUACUCUUUCUUCCACAUAGGCAGAAGUGAGUUGGGUCUUAAGCAUAUGGAGUAUUGUUUUCCUCACAAGGUGAACCCCAUCUUUUGGCCCUUAAAUAAUCUGUAAUCAGGGCAUAGUAGCACCUUGUUUGCCUUCUGAUAAUAUAAUCACUGGAAAUUAUAAUCCAGCAAAUUAUUAGAUUCUAUUUUAUCCUGUUUUCCAGAUUACUGUGUCUAAAAAAGAAAUGUUCUGUGGUGUAUUAUCAUUUGUUAUUCCAGGGCACAGUCUAAAUUGACAGUGGACUGACUGCAUCUCUUCAUGGAGUCCUUUCUGUGGGGGAGGAGUGGGAGGUUGGGUUUGCCCUUGCGUACUGUACUCCUCAAUUUGAGGUGACAAUUUAAAAAGCAUCUGGAGGGGUGGAAAAGGGGCUUAUUUACACAGGGAAGAAUAAGAAGCUGAAUAUUUGGGAAUUCAACUCCAUAAAACCUUUCUUGCCACUAAAAACUCCUACUUAAAAGUGCUGGUAUUCAGAUUUCCUUUAAGGGCAUUUUCUUUCUGCACUUUUCUCUAUCAUUACUAACCCUUUCAGGUGCUGAGCAUUAGACUUGGGAACUUGGGUUUGGUUCUUGGUUAGUGUUUGGCCCAAGAGAGAAAGUAGCCUUGAGGAGGGAUUGUUGUAGAACUGCCAGGGUAGUAUAUAUAGGUGAAGAAGAAAAGCUGUAGAAAUCUUUUGGUGAGGGGGUGCUGAGUCCAGUUUGGUUUCAUCUUAAUCUUUCUCCUCCUUGCAGUCUCCCUGCCCCCUCAUCUCCUUCCCUCCUCCUGAUAAUGACAGAACCCUGCAUGGUGUGUUUCCCUAGCACCACUGCACAGUUUGUUUACCUAGCCUGUCUGUGCUUGUCCCUGGGGCAACUGUUGCAAUGGCUGCAAACACCUUCAUUAAGUAGCCCACAAGGGGAUGGUUGUUGGGCAGGUGCUGCUGCUUUUCUUUCACACACCCAAAAUGCAUUCAUUCUCUUUACUGUGCCCUUUCUAUUUCUAACCCUUACCUUCAUAUUUUGCCCCAUCCCCAGGAUUGUGGUAUAAGCCCCAUCCUAUGUUGUAGUUUGAGUAGUAGAGUCAACUUUGGGGAUCAGGAGCUCUGCAUUUUCAAAUUUGAAUGUGCGUGAGCCCUGGCUCUCUUACUCUUCUAAUGCCAACCUCUCCUGUUUCCUCCCUGCAGUUGACCAAGCUGCACCAGUUGGCAAUGCAACAGUCUCAUUUUCCCAUGACGCAUGGCAACACCGGAUUCAGUGGUAUGGAUACCUCAGUGUUUAUUUCUGUAAGGUGUAGUGCAAGACAGAGGCCAGCCCCAAGGUCUCAGUUUGACAUCUGUUUAAAACAUACUUCGUUACCCAGCAUCCUGCUGGUUUAAACUUGCCUGUCUUCUAUCGCUAAACUGAAAGAGGUAAUGUGUUUGUUAACUUGGUUUUCGUUUGGGAUGAGUUAUUCUAAUAAAAAAUAAAAAAAGGCCCUGGAAGGUUUGGGGUGAGG
RNAcentral lists this long non-coding RNA (10129 nucleotides) under Lynx pardinus (Iberian lynx). The stretch from base 7270 to 7451 matches the Rfam family "TUC338". The record is from RNAcentral. Lineage: Eukaryota; Metazoa; Chordata; Mammalia; Carnivora; Felidae.